This is a long non-coding RNA of Siniperca chuatsi (mandarin fish), 3546 nucleotides long. RefSeq lists it as uncharacterized. The record is from RefSeq and is a predicted model, not a curated record. The transcript has 2 exons. NCBI's taxonomy places the organism in Eukaryota, Metazoa, Chordata, Actinopteri, Centrarchiformes, Sinipercidae.
AUAAAGUGGAUAUAAGUAUAAAAGCUAAAAUAAGUGUAAGUACCAUAUUGGAUUUAGAGGUUGAUACUGUUUAAUCCAAAGUAAUAAUAUAAGUAAUAAGUAAUAGUGUUGUGUGGAACGAACUUGGCACCCAAAAGCAGGACACACGGACAGAGCUGAUCAAGGUCUGAACAGUUUUAUUGUGUGGAAAGAUCAGGAGAUCGCGGCGUGUCUGGCGAAGUGCGUUGUAGCACGGAGAGUUCGACCGGACUGGACGGAGGCUGGAGAGUGGUGCGUUGAGCGGAGACCAGGGAAGCGGGUUCUGGACUGGCUGGCGUGGUUGAAGGCUGGGCUGAUCGGGUGAAGACACGCUGAGACUGAGACUAGAGUCCGAUGGCCGUGGCACAGGGAAGUGAUCACCGGCAGCACAGAGGUCUACAACGCAGACAGACAAUGUUACCAUAAGUGCUGUUGCUCCUUCCUCCGCCUUCCUCCAACAGAGUAACACCACACCAGCUGGCCUGCAGCCUCCUCAUCUGUCAGCAAGUGAGCAGGUUUCCAUUCAAAGCCUUUUGUCUGCAUGGGAACUGCCCAGUCUUGCUGCUGUCACAUCUCAGCCUCACUGUCUCUGUGUGACAUGCAAAUGAUUUGUAGUAAAUGAGUUACUGUAUUCCUUGUGCCUGAUAAUUCAACAUUUCCUUAUAAAAUCAAACUUAACCAGACAAGCUGAAUUGGACAUUUUUGUGAUAGUUUGGAUGAAUAAUGUUGAAUCAAUAUUUAGACAUGAGAUGGAUACAUACAGUCGAGCUGAGAUGCAAGAGAGGUUAAUGGGAUUUGAAACUAUUGCAAUUGCUCAGUGCCUGGAGGAAUGAUUUUAAUUUGGUGUGGCGACAUGAUUCACUCAGGAACCAAUUUUCUUUCUAAAACAAAUGUGUUUCCAUCAGCAGGGUUCAUCGUGACAGCACAUAACCUCUUCAUCUGAAGUUGACAGGGUUUGUGUUGUAUUUAUGAUCCUCAAAAGAAGGCAACUUUAAGUCUAAAAAACUUCUACUUCAUACUAAAAUGCAGUAUUACUGAAAUAGUAGUGUUAACUCCAAACAACUGAUGUACAUAGGGGUGGAAUCAAAUUCAAAUGGAAAUGGAACAUAUCAAUACACCAGUUUCCCAACAAACUCUCUUGUGAGGGGAAUGCAUGUCCCCCCUCACUUUUCAUAAUCCUAUUUUUGUUUUAUUUGGAGCUAUUUAGCAGAGUUUCAGGAGCAGGACUGCACCUCAAUCACACCACUUCCGCCAUUCCCACAAAUAUCUAAACCAUCUCCUCUUCUUUCACUCUCGUAUUCUGCGCUACAACCGAGAUCAUGUAAAAUCACAAGCUAACGUUACUACUCCACCCUAUGAGCAACUUCAUUCAUCCACUCACCACAUCUUGAAUAUGGACUUUGUGUCACCAUCCCCAUUGGACGAUGAAUCAUUCAGACGAAAUCAGGAUGACCAUGUUCAAAGUUUCCAUCAACCCUUGCUAGCAGACUUCUCCGCCACCUCAGUGUCUGAGACCCUUCUUUCUGUAAUCCAAAAGCCGGCUACGAAGCAACGAAGUCCAGCAAGCCUCUACACAUUCUCCUCCUUGCCCACCUCCCUCAGCAGAAAAGGCAAAUCAAGGACAGUCCAUCGCCGACUCCAUCGGCUCUGAGGACAACUCUUUUUUUUCUUUUCUUUGUAGUUUAUAGGAUAUUAAUGCCUUACAAAAACCAUGACAUUGUGAACUGCAAUGAUGGUUCAGUUGUUCACUAAGAAAAAAAAAAAAAUAUUUAAUUAUUUUUGUUACAUCAGCAAAUAUAUUGAGAUUUUGUUAUGACACUGAAAUCGUAUUCUGAAAAAUUUCUUUAGGAGUUAAUCAUAUUGUAAGUGUCGACAGUCACACCUCACAAACGUAGUCACACUCACCUAGUGUUAUAGCUCGCACGUAGGUCAUGCUGUAGUUGCCAGUACUUCCUCAUAGAACGUAUCAUUCAGUGUCAUUCUCCAAGGGUGAGCCUUAUCUCACUUACUAGCAAUUGCUUUCCAUCGUCUGUGAAUAAACUAAUCGUUCCAUCUCCCUGGAUAUUCCAAGCCGUGCCGAACACCGUGUUUGGUUCAAACUUCUCGCCAAAUGGAACAGGAUAACCUUCAUCUAUGAUGUACAACUGACUCACCCACAUGACAUCCAUCUGUACACUGACCCUGCUCCUUCUGUCGGGUUUGGGUGUUUCUACAAUAGAAAAUGGUUUGAAGUAGAAUGUCCCCGGAGCUCGCAAGUGAAUGCCAGGUCGUUUCCUCUGCUCUCUUUGAAAUCUACCCCAUUAUAGCCGCAGCUAUUCUGUGGGGCCAUGAAUGGUCCUGCAAAGCCCAUUCUCAUAUACUUUGACAACCUCGCAGAUGUAGACCUAAUCGACAAAGUUAGCUCCAAUGCCCCAUCUAUCAUGCCGCCCAUGCAUGCCUAACAUGGCACUCCAUUAGCACACCUAUAUUUUCUCCACGCAUCUCAUGUUCCGGAUUCCAAUGCCAUCACUGACUCUUUCCUGUUUCCCAUUUCAGAAGUUCAGUGUCUGGGCCCCUGAGGGGGAUAUCUUCAAGAGUAUAUCACCCUCAACCGUCUCGUCUUACAUGGAAGCUUGGAAGACUUUCUGCUACCUUCACUAUAAAAGGAGGAGAGAGGAGAGACUAAAAAGGAGGAGAGACUAAGAACAUCUUCGCCUCCUUUUUCUCUCUAACAAACACAUGCAAACAAACACACUGUUUCUUCUCUCAUCCCCUGAUCUGGUUGAAUAACUGUGCUAUUUUUAUAUCUCAAUUAAUGAUUGUAUGGCCAUAGUGAUGUUUGAGUGUGUGAUAUUUUGUGUGUAAAACUUAAAUGAAAAGUUUCAAACAAAGGAAUUUUUGGUGCGAAAGCCUUCCCCCAUACCCAAAACUCCUCCUCCUUUGCAAGCAGACAAAACCAGUUUCACCAACAUAUCAUCUGGCCCUCAUCUUUGAGCUCAAUGUUUGCUUUUUUUACCUUUAAUUUUCUCAAUAUGUUUUCUUUUCCUCGCCUAAAGUCCAUUCACAAUCUAACCUUUUUCCAAGCGAGUUUUUUUAAUGCCUCAGUAUUAAACUGAAGAGUUAUGUCUUUUGACAUAUAUUUUUGUAACAUUAACACUAAACCUCACAAUUUUUAUAACUUUAAUUACUAUAUUUAAGUUACUGAAACCUAGUUGAGGAAGCUAGUGUAGCCAGAGAUAUUUAAUUCAACAAGUCACAGCAUCACAGACUCGACAGAAGCUGCCCUGAGCUGCUGGAUACCAGCCAUCUUUAAAAGCAGAGCCCUUCUGAAAGAAGCCUGGACAACAUCUGUGUUCUAACAGAACAAAGGUUAGAACCGAAGAAACUUUGAAUCCUGCAUAUCCCAGGGAACUGUGCCAGCAGCGACUUGGCCUGGACCUUUGCUGUCUGCCCUGAAACAAGACCACCAGACCGGCCAGGAGACCUCAUCAGCUUAGUGACCAUCUGCUUCAUGGAGUCACCUGAAAGUGGCCAGCAGGGCUACUAAAU